This 388-nucleotide ribosomal RNA is filed under the name uncultured bacterium. Its description in RNAcentral is "bacterial SSU rRNA". It matches the Rfam family "Bacterial small subunit ribosomal RNA", at positions 28 to 417 of the family's 1533-position model. The record is from RNAcentral.
GACGAACGCUGGCGGCGUGCUUAACACAUGCAAGUCGAGCGGUAAGGCCCUUUCGGGGGUACACGAGCGGCGAACGGGUGAGUAACACGUGGGUGACCUGCCCUCAGCUCUGGGAUAAGCCUGGGAAACCGGGUCUAAUACUGGAUAUGACUCCAUGACGCAUGUUGUGGGGUGGAAAGCCUUGUGCGGCUGAGGAUGGGCCCGCGGCCUAUCAGCUUGUUGGUGGGGUGAUGGCCUACCAAGGCGACGACGGGUAGCCGGCCUGAGAGGGCGACCGGCCACACUGGGACUGAGACACGGCCCAGACUCCUACGGGAGGCAGCAGUGGGGAAUCUUGCGCAAUGGGCGAAAGCCUGGCGCAGCGACGCCGCGUGAGGGAUGACGGCCU